Peromyscus eremicus (cactus mouse) is the source of this 335-nucleotide long non-coding RNA. RefSeq lists it as uncharacterized. The record is from RefSeq and is a predicted model, not a curated record. Lineage: Eukaryota; Metazoa; Chordata; Mammalia; Rodentia; Cricetidae. The transcript is spliced from 2 exons.
CCAACUUCCAGCAAGAAUUUCACUUUUUAAGCUUUGUGUUAUGUAUAUGAGAAUUUACCUGCUUGUGUCUCUGUGCAGUACCUGCAGAGACCAGAAGAUGGAAUCAGAGCCCUUGCACCUGGAGUUAUAAGCAAGCAUGGUUUCCAGCAUAUGGAGGGAGCUCACUCCCACAGCUGAGUGAUUAUUGAGUACAGUCCAUGUCAGCUUGACCUCAGGAGGAAUAAACUCAAUGAGGGGAACACCUGACAUGUGAGUUUCUGGGCUCCAAUUGCUGCCUAUUUACCACAUUGGAGAUAAUCUCACUCUUGUGGCUUGGAUUAAAUGGUCAACCAUCA